GAUCGUUUGAUAUAUGGACCUGCAGCAGAGUUUAGACCCAGACACGGCUAGUGACGUCAGACUGAACAACCGGAUUACGCUAUUGAACACAGAAAAUACAGCCAUCAGAUUUCUUGUAGACCUAGCACACUUCUGGUCUGUGUCUGAAUACAUAUAUAAGUACAUAGAUGCAGAUGAACACUGUAAACAUGAUGAAAGAUCGACAGACUAACUCGAACAUAUCUUUAAUCUUUAGGACUUUGGGUAGCGCUUCCUUUCCUUCCUGUCAACCUCUCCAGAGGGGUGUCUGCUGAUGGCAGAAAGAUUACAUCACCUCUGGUUGGAACCCUGGACAGUGCCACAACCUUUGGCUUGGUGUAAAAUGUGAUGCCCCAUCGCCACCUUCUGACCUAACUUCUUCUCAGCUCUGUGACUACUUCAAGAGGGGCAUUCCUGUGUGGAGGUGUGCCAGGCAGCUCGUUUUACCUGUGAACUUGCGUACUUUCACUUCAUCAACAACAAAGUGCUAUGCUUCAUGUGGAGAUGCAAGGACUGUGGGACAACAUUAACAAAAAGAUCUGAAUUGCUCAAACACUACAAACUGAUUCAUAGGCAUUACGGACGAGGCCACUCAUAUCCAUGCACUUAUUUAAAUUGUGCAUGUAGGUUCAAGACUUGGAACGCCCUACUGAGCCAUCUAUCAAGAAAUCACCCUGCCCAACAAGCAGUCUCCAAAGCUGCAUCCAAAUUCACUUGCCAUAUUUGUGGCCAUAAUCAACUCUCCACAGAAAGAGAAUAUUUUCAACAUAUCUAUCAGCAUCUUAAAAAUAAGGAAACUGUAACAUGUGUGUUCCAAAACUGUGAAUAUAAAACCAAUGUCUAUGAGAACUUCAAAAGUCAUAAAUACAGAAAACACUCUGGUACAGUGAACACAUUUAAGCCUGGAAUAAGUUCUGUUGAUGAAUCUUGUGCCAGUGUUGCCAGUGAUAUUUCAGAUGUGGAAAUUAUAGAGAGUGAUGUAAAUUAAAAUUCUGCUUUUGACAAUGGGUAUUCUGAAAACUUAGAGAAGGAUAUUGAGCUUCAGUGCUCCUUAAGUUGGAACACAUCUUUCUUGUGUCUAAUGCAGCUGUAGAUGAGCUUUUGCAGGAGUUAAACUAUUUGAUUGGUUCUGUCUCUGUGGCGAUUACCCAAAAGACUAUUAGCCAAGUAUUACAAGACAACGGAUGCCAAUUUGACCAGUCAGUUGUUGAAAAGCUAGCCAGUGUACUAUGUGAGACAAACCCUGUAAAAAAAGCAAUUGGAGAUAAAGGUCCACUUUCCAGUCCUUGGAGACGAAAAGCAUACUAUAAGAGCCACUUUAAAGUAGUGGAACCAGUGGAAUAUAUACUUGACAGAAAAAAUAACAAGUCAUUCCAAUAUAUUUCAAUUUUAAAGUCUUUGCAGCAUAUUCUUGACUGCCAGACAAUCUUGGAUCAGGCUGUUAAUUUGAAUACUGUAGAUAAUCAGCCUCAAAAAACUUCUGUGCACUACAAAACUAUCUUCGAUGGUGACUUCUUCCAUGAAAAUGGACUGUUGUCCAAGCAGGAAAGCAUUUCAUUGAUAUUAUACAUUGAUGAAUUCGAAAUAUGUAAUCCCCUUGGUACAUCACGGAGGAAGCAUAAAAUUUGUGGAUUGUACUGGGUUUUGGGUAAUUUGCCACCAGGCUGUAAUUCUGCUUUAACCUCAAUCUAUUUGGCUGCUUUAAUCAAAAGUAAUGAUCUGCAGUGCUAUGGGUAUGAGAAAGUGUUAAAACCUGUAAUUAAUGAUCUUGUAAUUUUGGAACAGAGUGGGAUAUUUCUGUCAAAGUUGGGCAGAACAGUAAAAGGCACUGUUCAGUGUGUUGUUGCCGACAACCUUGGUGCACACAGUAUUGCUGGAUUCUUUGAAAAUUUCUCAGGGACAUACGUAUGUAGAUUUUGCACUGCAGAAACAUCAGAGUUCCAGACUAUUGAAGUCAGAAGUGAAGUCUUUACUUUAAGAACAAAAGACAUUCAUGCAGAUCAUUUACGAAUUAUUGAGGAAAACAAAUGGCCCAGUUAUUAUGGUGUGAAAUCAAAGUGUAUUUUGUCAAAGCACCUCUCACAUUUUGAUGUUACCACUGGGUUUCCACCUGAUGUUGUACAUGAUCUUUUUGAGGGAAUUGUUCCUUUUGAACUUGCGCUUUGCCUCAAUUUGUUAAUCAAAAAAAAGUAUUUCACAUUAUGUACAUUGAAUGAAGCAAUAUCAUCUUUCAACUUUAAGUGGGCUGACAAAACAAAUCGACCUCAUCCUGUGGCUCUCAGUUUUGCAUCCAAAAAAAGUGUAGGAGGGAAUGCACACGAGAACUGGAGUCUUAUCAGAUUUUUGCCUUUGUUCGUUGGGCAGAGUGUACCCUGUGAGGAGCCUGCUUGGCACAUCUUAACAGACUUGUAGGACAUUGUUGAUCUUGUUGUCAGUCCUGUUCAUACUGAGGACUCCAUUGCAUAUCUUGGUUUUAAGAUCUCCGAGCACAGAAUCAAGUUUCAAGAGGUUUUCCCAGAUGUUAAUCUUAAACCAAAGCACCACUACUUGGAACAUUAUCCAUACUUGAUUCGUAAGUUUGGGCCACUGGUUGCACUAUGGACUGUGCGAUUCGAAGCAAAGCAUAGUUUUUUUAAAAGAGUUGCAAGGAACAUCAGAUGCUUCAAAAAUGUACUUCUUUCCCUUUCACAGAGACAUCAGUAUCAGAUUGCAUAUCAUUUGCAUGCAAUUAGCUUUGCCAAACCCCCACUGGAAGUAACAGAUGUUUCCAUUGUUCACAUUGAUGUUCUUAACAAGGACAUCUCAAAUGCACUGAGACAGAAGUCUCCAGAUAUGGACAAUGUGUGCUUGGCUAAAAGUGUAGCAUAUAAUGGAAUAAUCUACAAGUGUGGGAUGAUCUUGAUCCACGGCUCACUGGGAGGACUGCCAGAGUUUGGUGAAAUCAUCCAAAUGGUGAUACUGCAGGACAAACUAAUCUUCAUUCUGAAAAAGCUUAGCGGAUGGUAUAUGGAACACUACAGAGCUUAUGAUCUCAAAACAUCACCAAGCAAAGAAGUGGAACUUGUUGAGCCACAAGAACUGCAUGAUACCUACCCACUGGCAGACUAUAAAAUUAGAGGGAUGCGUCUUGUCACCUUGAAAAGAUAUGUCCAUGUUUAAAGGACCACCAUGGCUGGUUCAACACCUGCAAGACUGAAGGUGAUUUUAGGAGAGAACAACAUUGAAAAGCUGACUCUUCCAAAUGGCAUCCCAGAGUCACUUGAAGACCUUCUCAGCACGAUAAAGACUACCUUUGGGUUAAAAGGUAACUUCAGACUGCAAUACAUGGACCAAGACUUUGGCAACGACUUCUUCAAUCUGAAUUCUACCACCGAACUUCGGAAUUUGGGGACAAUCAAAGUGAUCCACCAGCAAACAAAUCCACCUUUGAUCAGUGCCGAUCAGUCCACUUCAUCUCUGUCUCUUUCAUUUGAGUCUGAUGACGGUAUUUCGGUGGCAUCAAAUGACACAAUUAUCCUCUCAUCCCCUGAAUCUAUGUCAUCUCGAACACAACAGUGGCCAGAAGACUUUGCAAUUCCCCAAUUUUCAUAUGACACAGAGCUACAGCUAGAGAGGGGGAAUACUGAGUACCGUGUGAGCCAAAAAAUGUUGACUUUAAGCGCCCGAAUGCUGUCUGAUAUCCUGAAAAGAGUUGCAGAAGAAAUUUACCGUUACAAGGCCUAUCCAGAGGAUGCACAUUUCUGCGCAGCUGCAGAGGCCCUUAUCAAAAAGCACCCAUGUUUGAAAGAACCUGGAUCAUUCAAUGGCUGCUACGGUUGGAAACAACGACUGAAGUACAAAAUGGCAAACUACAGGACCCAGCUCAAAUUACAGGGGUGUCCAGAGCUGUGUGUAAACUCACUGAAAUCUAAAGCUACUACAGAUGCUUUCCCUGCUAAAAAAGUGAAGAAGCCAAAACGUUCUGAAGCUAACUUUUAUCCAUCCUUUCCUACUGGUGAGACUCUGGACAGCAUGGAAAAAGUGAGACUAGAACUUCUGACAGAGAUCGGGAUAAGGGACAAUGAAAGGGUCAUCGCAGACAAAAUGGCUAACACGUUUACCUACAGACGACAUGAGGUGGUAAACCAAGAACCAAGCAUUCAGGAACUGAAGGACAGAUAGCCUGCACUCUUCACACAGAAAGAGAUAAAUACAGAGUUCCAGAGGCUCAUGGCUGUUCCUCUUGAGUGGAAGUUCAUGGCCCAGUUAGACAUGCACUCAAGUCAGCUGAUCAAAGUCAUACGUGCCAAAGGAGGAGCAACACGCCAAAAGAUUGCGAACAUCAUGGACACAUUGGACCAGACAGUGGACAUUAAUCAUCGGAGGGAAUGUGUGCUGAAAGCCCUCACCAUCUUCCUGGGAGAAGAUGCAGAUGGCCUGAUCAAGGAAUACCUUGACUGUGGAGCAGAUGAUGUUCAGAGGGACCUGGAGGAGGUCACCAUGGCAGUGUAUGUGAUUCGGAAGGAGGGGGAGGGACUGCAGGAGCCACCUGAAGACAUUGGCAUUGUCAUUGAGGGUGUGGAAGUGUUGCAUGAACUAACUUCGGUUGCCUCAGCUUGUGCCCUGCUUCUAGGUUUGAUCUAUGCACUCAACCUAGCUUAUCCAAAACCCUUUCGCUUCACUUUUGAAGUGCUCCAAAAAAUCUUCAUGCAGCUUGAUCAGCACAAGAUGUCCCCCAAAGUCCAAAAUCUGUAUAUCAAACUUCAAAGCUCCCAGUAAUGGCACAGAACAAUGACCAACAAAUGGCCUUGUGCCAUAAUGCGAAGGAACAACUGUGUUUGGACAUAUAGCAUGUAAAAUAUGUAGUCUCUUUUGGAUGUUGGGCCUUUUUUAUGCUCCAAGAGACCUCAAACCCUAAUUUAAUGUGCUUUUAUACAUACUUUGUAUGGUAUUUUUAUUUAUUUUUAAAAAAAUUUUUUUCAGACAUAUUUGCCUUCGUUUCAAGGGAAAGGUUGCAUUUCAGGUUUGAUGUGCUCAGUUAUACAACAAACUGUUGUGACAUUCUAAAACUCUAAAGGAGUGUUUAUAUUUUUUCAUCCCCAUUGGUCAGCUACACUGUUCAGAUAUUUAUUCAUUGACAGUUUCUGAAUACUCUUGGGGCACUUUUUCAUAGUUGACACUAUGUGUGUUGAGAUUGAUAUUUGUGUAAUACUGUGUUGCACUUUACACUUUGAUGACAACUUUGUGGUCCUACUAAGCGUUACUUGCAUUUUGUGCAUAUGUGUUUUAAAAAGGACAAAUGUGUAAUGUGUUUGACCAAAAGCUGUGUUGGUUGCCAUAAAGGUAAUACUUUAUUACAUUUAUACAAUAAAGCAUUUAAAAAAAAAAAAAAAAAAAAAAAAA
RNA transcript from Maylandia zebra (zebra mbuna), 5400 nucleotides. It is a transcript of the gene named aldo-keto reductase family 1 member D1, with no coding region annotated. NCBI's taxonomy places the organism in Eukaryota, Metazoa, Chordata, Actinopteri, Cichliformes, Cichlidae. The record is from RefSeq and is a predicted model, not a curated record.